GGGCGGAUACCAAAGCGGUCAAAUGGACCAGACUGUAAAUCUGGCGGCUCAGCCUUCGCAGGUUCGAAUCCUGCUCCGCCCACCA
Molecule: transfer RNA, 85 nt
Filed under: bacterium
Lineage: Bacteria
Also listed under: 1 other name
Description: tRNA-Tyr
Rfam family: tRNA
About the family: Transfer RNA (tRNA) molecules are approximately 80 nucleotides in length. Their secondary structure includes four short double-helical elements and three loops (D, anti-codon, and T loops).
Source: RNAcentral